RNAcentral lists this ribosomal RNA (468 nucleotides) under uncultured bacterium. Its description in RNAcentral is "partial 16S ribosomal RNA". It matches the Rfam family "Bacterial small subunit ribosomal RNA", at positions 28 to 507 of the family's 1533-position model. The record is from RNAcentral.
GACGAACGCUGGCGGCGUGCUUAACACAUGCAAGUCGAACGGAAAGGCCCUGCUUUUGUGGCUUGCUCGAUUGGCGAACGGGUGAGUAACACGUGAGUAACCUGCCCUUGACUUUGGGAUAACUUCAGGAAACUGGGGCUAAUACCGCAGAUGAUCUCCUGCUGCAUGUUGUUGGUUGGAAAGUGUCGGCGGUUCUGGAUGGACUGGCGGGUUAUCAGCUUCAUGGUGGGGUAGUGGCGUACCAAGGGUUUGACGGGUAGCCGGCCUGAGAGGGUGACCGGCCACAUUGGGACUGCGAGACGGCCCAGACUGGUACGGGAGGCAGUAGGGGGGAACAUUGCACAAUGGGCGGAAGCCUGAUGCAGCAACGCCGCGUGCGGGAUGACGGGUUUCGGGUUGAAAACAGAUUUCGCAUGUGAUGAAGAGUGAGUGACGGUAAUGGGUAAAGAAGCACCGGCUAACUACGUG